RNAcentral lists this ribosomal RNA (265 nucleotides) under uncultured prokaryote. RNAcentral describes it as "partial 16S ribosomal RNA". It matches the Rfam family "Bacterial small subunit ribosomal RNA", at positions 524 to 788 of the family's 1533-position model. The record is from RNAcentral.
UACGUAGGUGGCGAGCGUUGUCCGGAUUUACUGGGCGUAAAGGGAGCGUAGGCGGACUUUUAAGUGAGAUGUGAAAUACCCGGGCUCAACGUGGGUGCUGCAUUUCAAACUGGAAGUCUAGAGUGCAGGAGAGGAGAAUGGAAUUCCUAGUGUAGCGGUGAAAUGCGUAGAGAUUAGGAAGAACACCAGUGGCGAAGGCGAUUCUCUGGACUGUAACUGACGCUGAGGCUCGAAAGCGUGGGGAGCAAACAGGAUUAGAUACCCU